GGGCCUUUAGCUCAGUUGGUAGAGCGUCACGUUUACACCGUGAAUGUCGUCGGUUCGAUCCCGGCAGGGCCCACCA
Molecule: transfer RNA, 76 nt
Filed under: Tersicoccus solisilvae
Lineage: Bacteria; Bacillati; Actinomycetota; Actinomycetes; Micrococcales; Micrococcaceae
Description: tRNA-Val
Rfam family: tRNA
About the family: Transfer RNA (tRNA) molecules are approximately 80 nucleotides in length. Their secondary structure includes four short double-helical elements and three loops (D, anti-codon, and T loops). Further hydrogen bonds mediate the characteristic L-shaped molecular structure. tRNAs have two regions of fundamental functional importance: the anti-codon, which is responsible for specific mRNA codon recognition, and the 3' end, to which the tRNAs corresponding amino acid is attached (by aminoacyl-tRNA synthetases). tRNAs cope with the degeneracy of the genetic code in two manners: having more than one tRNA (with a specific anti-codon) for a particular amino acid; and 'wobble' base-pairing, i.e. permitting non-standard base-pairing at the 3rd anti-codon position.
Source: RNAcentral